AUUGCUUCCCAGCCUUUUGGCUAAGAUCGAGGGUAGUAUCUGCUCUUCUCAGUUUAGUAUUUGAUGUAUCCUGUCCUGUAUCCAAUGACAAUAUAUUAAAUGGAUUUUUGGAGCAGGGAUUUGGAAUAGGGGCUUGCUCCAUCCGCUCCACACAUCAACCUGGUGUUGCAGGACCGCCAGGCACGUGUGCCCCCU
Small nuclear RNA from Camelus dromedarius (Arabian camel), 195 nucleotides. Its record names the gene U2. It matches the Rfam family "U2 spliceosomal RNA". From Rfam's summary of the family: U2 is a small nuclear RNA (snRNA) component of the spliceosome (involved in pre-mRNA splicing). Complementary binding between U2 snRNA (in an area lying towards the 5' end but 3' to hairpin I) and the branchpoint sequence (BPS) of the intron results the bulging out of an unpaired adenosine, on the BPS, which initiates a nucleophilic attack at the intronic 5' splice site, thus starting the first of two transesterification reactions that mediate splicing. The record is from Ensembl. Lineage: Eukaryota; Metazoa; Chordata; Mammalia; Artiodactyla; Camelidae.